RNAcentral lists this unclassified non-coding RNA (331 nucleotides) under soil metagenome. Its description in RNAcentral is "partial contains 5.8S ribosomal RNA, internal transcribed spacer 2, and large subunit ribosomal RNA". The stretch from base 1 to 120 matches the Rfam family "5.8S ribosomal RNA", at positions 35 to 154 of the family's 154-position model. The record is from RNAcentral.
GAUGAAGAACGUAGCGAAAUGCGAUAAGUAAUGUGAAUUGCAGAAUUCAGUGAAUCAUCGAAUCUUUGAACGCACAUUGCGCCCCCUGGUAUUCCGGGGGGCAUGCCUGUUCGAGCGUCAUUUCACCACUCAAGCCUCGCUUGGUAUUGGGCAACGCGGUCCGCCGCGUGCCUCAAAUCGACCGGCUGGGUCUUCUGUCCCCUAAGCGUUGUGGAAACUAUUCGCUAAAGGGUGUUCGGGAGGCUACGCCGUAAAACAACCCCAUUUCUAAGGUUGAUCUCGGAUCAGGUAGGGAUACCCGCUGAACUUAAGCAUAUUAAUAAGCGGAGGA